GUCAGAGUAGACACUACUGAGUUGAAGGGACCAAUGGUCUGACUCCAUAUAAGACGGUUUCCUGUAUGGCUAUGUCUCAAGGCUGUCAGGGCACUGAUGACCAGAAACUGGAACCUGAAGGCCUUUGAAAAUCCAGACCUACACAAAAAGGUCCUUGAGGGGUUUUCCCUUCUGCUGGUCUGCAAUGAUUCUCCCAACGGCCUGAGGCCCAAUGUAUCCAGUGAUGUGACAACCUACCACAUAACUAUGAACGGUGAUAAUAAAUAGGAGACAUUCCUUCAGAGUCAUCCAGGUCCCCACCUCCCCCAUCCAGAAUAUUUGCUCUUUCAUAGUUCAGGGGUGAAUUGUGUUGCAUACACAAGUUGCAAUCAGGUUACAGUGCAGGAGUGUUCGGUAAUUUCAUAUGAUGCCCACACCCCGACCAUUGCAUGAGACGUUAGCUAACCAAGUGGGACAAGGUGCCUAAUUGAUUUGAACUGGGGCUCUUAUUCGUUAUUAAAAAGCUAUCUAGAAGGGAGGGGGAGAAAGUGAGGCAGGGGUGAGGGGGAAUAAGAACGAGAGCAACUCCCCCCCCCUUCUCCUCUGAAGGAAGCAGCAGUGUCUCCUUGCAGAACGACAACCCUCAGGAUACAGCAGUUGUCUUCAAAUCUGUGACCAUAAAAAAUCAUUAUCUCUGUGAAAUACAGCAAUUUGGGAGAUAAUCAAACAGUGACCAGGGGGCAGAGCUGCCAAUCUGAAGGAUUAUGCUCAGCGCACGCUUGAUUCCGUCUGACCUUCCUCCGAGCCAGCUGUCAGCCUGGCGAAAACGCACAUGGAUCAACUCGGGGCACAUUCAUUAGACUGUCUUCGGUGAAGGAGUCAUUUGCAUAAAACCCCAGCUUUCUUAAUUAGUA
Molecule: long non-coding RNA, 893 nt
Organism: Hemicordylus capensis (graceful crag lizard)
Lineage: Eukaryota; Metazoa; Chordata; Lepidosauria; Squamata; Cordylidae
Exons: 2
Source: RefSeq, a predicted model, not a curated record